RNAcentral lists this ribosomal RNA (254 nucleotides) under uncultured bacterium. RNAcentral's name for it is "partial 16S ribosomal RNA". It matches the Rfam family "Bacterial small subunit ribosomal RNA", at positions 524 to 776 of the family's 1533-position model. The record is from RNAcentral.
UACGUAGGGUGCAAGCGUUUGUCCGGAAUCAUUGGGCGUAAAGAGCGUGUAGGCGGCUUGGUAAGUCCGCUGUGAAAGUCCAGGGCUCAACCCUGGAAUGCCGGUGGAAACUGUCAAGCUUGAGUCCGGAAGAGGCGAGUGGAAUUCCUGGUGUAGCGGUGAAAUGCGCAGAUAUCAGGAGGAACACCAAUGGCGAAGGCAGCUCGCUGGGACGGUACUGACGCUGAGACGCGAAAGCGUGGGGAGCAAACAGG